GUUUGAUCCUGGCUCAGGACGAACGCUGGCGGCGUGCUUAACACAUGCAAGUCGAGCGGAAAGGCCCUUCGGGGUACUCGAGCGGCGAACGGGUGAGUAACACGUGAGCAAUCUGCCCUUAGCUUUGGGAUAACCCUCGGAAACGGGGGCUAAUACCGAAUGGUUACUGCCUGACGCAUGUUGGGUGGUGGAAAGUUUUUCGGCUAGGGAUGAGCUCGCGGCCUAUCAGCUUGUUGGUGGGGUAAUGGCCUACCAAGGCGACGACGGGUAGCCGGCCUGAGAGGGCGACCGGCCACACUGGGACUGAGACACGGCCCAGACUCCUACGGGAGGCAGCAGUGGGAAUAUUGCACAAUGGGCGAAAGCCUGAUGCAGCGACGCCGCGUGAGGGAUGACGGCCUUCGGGUUGUAAACCUCUUUCAGCAGGGACGAAGCGAAAGUGACGGUACCUGCAGAAGAAGCGCCGGCCAACUACGUGCCAGCAGCCGCGGUAAGACGUAGGGCGCAAGCGUUGUCCGGAAUUAUUGGGCGUAAAGAGCUCGUAGGCGGCUUGUUGCGUCGACUGUGAAAACCCGUGGCUCAACCAUGUGGUCUGCAGUCGAUACGGGCAGGCUAGAAUUCGGUAGGGGAGACUGGAAUUCCUGGUGUAGCGGUGAAAUGCGCAGAUAUCAGGAGGAACACCGGUGGCGAAGGCGGGUCUCUGGGCCGAUAUUGACGCUGAGGAGCGAAAGCGUGGGGAGCGAACAGGAUUAGAUACCCUGGUAGUCCACGCUGUAAACGUUGGGCGCUAGGUGUGGGGGGCCUCUCCGGUCCUCUGUGCCGCAGCUAACGCAUUAAGCGCCCCGCCUGGGGAGUACGGCCGCAAGGCUAAAACUCAAAGGAAUUGAUGG
Molecule: ribosomal RNA, 890 nt
Filed under: uncultured bacterium
Lineage: Bacteria
Description: bacterial SSU rRNA
Rfam family: Bacterial small subunit ribosomal RNA
Source: RNAcentral